Molecule: ribosomal RNA, 418 nt
Filed under: uncultured cyanobacterium
Lineage: Bacteria; Bacillati; Cyanobacteriota
Description: bacterial SSU rRNA
Rfam family: Bacterial small subunit ribosomal RNA
Source: RNAcentral
GGGGAAUUUUCCGCAAUGGGCGAAAGCCUGACGGAGCAAUACCGCGUGAGGGAGGAAGGCUCUUGGGUUGUAAACCUCUUUUCUCAGGGAAGAUAGUGACGGUACCUGAGGAAUCAGCAUCGGCUAACUCCGUGCCAGCAGCCGCGGUAAUACGGAGGAUGCAAGCGUUAUCCGGAAUUAUUGGGCGUAAAGCGUCUGUAGGUGGACGUUCAAGUCUGCUGUCAAAGACCGGGGCUUAACCCUGGAAAGGCGGUGGAAACUGAAAGUCUAGAGUGCGGUAGGGGUAGAGGGAAUUCCCAGUGUAGCGGUGAAAUGCGUAGAGAUUGGGAAGAACACCGGUGGCGAAAGCGCUCUGCUGGGCCUGCACUGACACUAAGGGACGAAAGCUAGGGGAGCGAAUGGGAUUAGAUACCCCAGU